RNAcentral lists this ribosomal RNA (492 nucleotides) under uncultured bacterium. RNAcentral's name for it is "partial 16S ribosomal RNA". It matches the Rfam family "Bacterial small subunit ribosomal RNA", at positions 29 to 507 of the family's 1533-position model. The record is from RNAcentral.
AGUGAACGCUGGCGGUAGGCCUAACACAUGCAAGUCGAACGGCAGCACAGUAAGAGCUUGCUCUUACGGGUGGCGAGUGGCGGACGGGUGAGGAAUACAUCGGAAUCUACUUUUUCGGGGGGGAUAACGUAGGGAAACUUACGCUAAUACCGCAUACGACCUACGGGUGAAAGCAGGGGAUCUUCGGACCUUGCGCGAUUGAAUGAGCCGAUGUCGGAUUAGCUAGUUGGCGGGGUAAAGGCCCACCAAGGCGACGAUCCGUAGCUGGUCUGAGAGGAUGAUCCGCCACACUGGAACUGAGACACGGUCCAGACUCCUACGGGAGGCAGCAGUGGGGAAUAUUGGACAAUGGGCGCAAGCCUGAUCCAGCCAUACCGCGUGGGUGAAGAAGGCCUUCGGGUUGUAAAGCCCUUUUGUUGGGAAAGAAAAGCAGCAGGUUAAUACCCCGCUGUUCUGACGGUACCCAAAGAAUAAGCACCGGCUAACUUCGUG